AUUGAACGCUGGCGGCAGGCCUAACACAUGCAAGUCGAGCGGAUGAAGGGAGCUUGCUCCUGGAUUCAGCGGCGGACGGGUGAGUAAUGCCUAGGAAUCUGCCUGGUAGUGGGGGAUAACGUCCGGAAACGGGCGCUAAUACCGCAUACGUCCUGAGGGAGAAAGUGGGGGAUCUUCGGACCUCACGCUAUCAGAUGAGCCUAGGUCGGAUUAGCUAGUUGGUGGGGUAAAGGCCUACCAAGGCGACGAUCCGUAACUGGUCUGAGAGGAUGAUCAGUCACACUGGAACUGAGACACGGGCCAGACUCCUACGGGAGGCAGCAGUGGGGAAUAUUGGACAAUGGGCGAAAGCCUGACCAGCCAUGCCGCGUGUGUGAAGAGGGUCUUCGGAUUGUAAAGCACUUUAAGUUGGGAGGAAGGGCAGUAAGUUAAUACCUUGCUGUUUUGACGUUACCAACAGAAUAAGCACCGGCUAACUUCGUG
RNAcentral lists this ribosomal RNA (483 nucleotides) under uncultured bacterium. RNAcentral's name for it is "partial 16S ribosomal RNA". It matches the Rfam family "Bacterial small subunit ribosomal RNA", at positions 30 to 507 of the family's 1533-position model. The record is from RNAcentral.